Molecule: long non-coding RNA, 5440 nt
Filed under: Sus scrofa (pig)
Lineage: Eukaryota; Metazoa; Chordata; Mammalia; Artiodactyla; Suidae
Description: lncRNA (ENSSSCG00050040037.1)
Source: RNAcentral
CACAGCUCACGGCAACACCAGAUCCUUAACCCACUGAGUGAGGCCAGGGAUCAAACCCUCAACCUCAUGGUUCCUAGUCAGAUUCGUCUCUGCUGAGUCACGACAGGAACUCCCCACUUGGUUCUUUUUCAACCUUCAUGUUAGGCAGAUUGGUAAAUGUGGAUGAUAUAAAAAAGUUUGCAAAGCAAAUGCCGUCACGUAAAAAAAUAACUGAGUGGAAAAGGGAGAGGGUGUAGCAUAUCAGACACAGGUCAUGGGAUUACUCAUUCAUUCAAAGGUAAGUGUUGUGUGCUUUCUUUUAUGCUACUUUGUCAUUCACACAAGAGUCCACUUAGGUCCAUACUGUCAUUUUAGAAAUGAAAAAACAGGUUCAGGGAAGAUAAUUUGUACAAGGUCACAUAGACAGUGAGUGAUAAAGAAGAUUGGCACUUAGGUCUACCUGAUUCCAAUUCCAAAUAUGGACCCGAGUGUAUUAAUAUAAAUGCCAAGUGACAUACAUUUCAUCAUUCCCACUCCUUUUUCCCUCUUGCUCCACCCUUAUUUGAUAAUAUGGGAACUAUGUAAUUGAUACAGAAAUACAGGUUUAUACCACUGAUAAGAGGUGCUACGUCGUUAAGAACUUUGAAUAAAUAUCAAAAGGCUUAAAAUAUUCAUGUUCUUUGAACCGAUAAUUCCAAUUCUAAGAUUUUUAUCCUAAGAGAAGAAUCAGAAAUUUGCACAGGAAUUCCCUGGUGGCUCAGCUGGUUAAGGAUCUGGUGUUGUCAUUCCUAUGGUGCAAGUCUGAUCCCUGGCCUGGGAACUUUUGCAUAUUAUUUUAUUAAUAAUAAUAAUUAAAAGACUGGCACAAAUAUCUAUGUGCAAAAUAUCUUAGUGAAUUACAGCACUAUCCAUAAUUGUGAAUGAUUGGAAUUAAUGUAAAUUCCAAUAACAGAAUACAGUCACACAAUAUAAUUCUAUAUAGCUAUUAAAAAUAUUUUAGAACACUUAAUAUGAGAUAUUUAUAAUACAUGAUCCACAGAAAAAAGAUUGGAUGGACAUAAAUACCAGUAUGUGAUAAUAAUAGUUAAAUCUACCUAGUAACAUUACAGCUGAUUCUCAAUUUUUUUCAGUUUCUUUGUAUUUUCCAAAUUUUCUAUAAUAAAUAUGUAUUCUUUUGUAAUUAGAUGUUAUAUAGCUUUUAAACAAAAAAAUCAGGUUAUAACCUUUAAAAAAUAUAUUUGUAUUAAAAACAGUAAUAACGGCCCCAAAAUGGAGUCACUUAUCACUAAAUCAAGACUUAAUUACAGUUUUGGCUUUCCCAGAAAUUCCAGUCAGGAACUGCCUAAUUAGCAUUAAUUAAUCUGUCUGAUAGACCCCUGAAAUCCUAAAGGAAAGUAACACUACAAUAACCAAACCGCUAGUUUAACUUUAUUCUCAUUCCCUUCCAGCUAUAAAAAUUUUUCAUUUUGUAUGACUCCCCAGAGUUCCCUUCUAACUGCUAGAUUAGAUAUUGCCUGAUUCAAAUUGACUUUUGGGCAAAUAAACUUAACAUUUUUAGUAUGCCACAGUUUAUAUUCCAACAUCGGGAAUGAUGGAACAAUGGACUGUCAAUGAUAUAUCCAAAACCACUGUAGGAGAAAACAGAACAAAUAGUUCACAGAGAACUUAGAAACAAAGUUAGGGAGGAAAAGUAAUUAGAUGAAGAUGAGCUUAAGUGAAUGUAAAUAACUUUAUUUUCACAAUUAUUUAUCUUGGUAGAGAAGAACUCUAAUAUUUAUUUGUAAGUUGUACGACUUAAUUCUUAAUGUACAGAGAAAAUAAAGGUCUUCAUGAAAUAUACACGAGCCAGAAAAUUUCUUUCCUUAAUUUUGCUGUGAAAUGGGUAUGGAAGUGCUUUACUAAUCCAUUACUAUAACCAUCAGACAAUUGUCAUGUUCUACCUCUAGAAACUGCUAUGUGACUUGUCACAGGGAUCUGAUAUUACACAAAAAGUAAACUUCCAAAGAUUCUGAAGAUACUUUCAUUCUCACCCCAUUUCUUGGUUGACAAAUGCAGACAACUGCCUUGUGUGAUAGCAUGUCAACUGUAGAGCACUGCACUCCUAAAAGUACAAUGCUGCUCAAAUCCACAUGGGAUACCAUCAUUUUCUUACUUUAGGUAUGGGAGAAAUGUCAGGAAAUAUCAACCGCUCCAGUGCUUUUUACUCAUCAGCUAUCACUGACAAGAGUGAACUGAGAUGGAAGAUGGGCACAAUUUAAUUGAACUUUUUCUAUAUAGUAUAAUGGGCCUAGAACAUGGCAUGACUAUUUAACAUGGGAAAUAUAUGAGAUUAGAGAUCAGAAAGUAUUGAGUUUUGUAUUGUUCUAACUUCACCACUAAUUUAAGAAUGUAAUCUUGCGCAAGUCACUUAAACCUCUACAAAUGUCAAAUUUUUUAUCAGCAAAAUGUGACUCAAUAAGAUAAUGAAUUUGAAGAAACACUGCAAAAUUAAAGGUUCCAAGGAAAUAAUUCUUCCACCCCCAAAGGUUAUGAACAUCAUUAAAAUUUACAACAUGGAAGAGCUCACACAGAGACCUAACUAUGAUCCAUGGACAGAUAUACAGAAAUGGUAUCAUAUUACAGAGAAUCACAGGUCGAAAAAAGACAAAGAAUGGACACCAACCUAUGCCUGAAGAAAGCUCUAUUUUCACAGGAAACACAGAGCUCCUAGCUAAAUUCUGUUUAGGUGGUAUGAAAAUUAUCCAACAAUAUGUCCUAACUUCAAAGGGAAAGAACUGUAUCUUGAAAAGUGAAGAGGCCUUUAGAGAAACCAACAAGAGAUGCAUUAACUCAGGCUUCAAGCUCCAGACCAAAUUAAAGUUUCCCAAAGCUGUGAAAGAGGCCCAGAAAGAAGAAAUUCUUGCAGAAGGUAGAAUCCUUGAAAGCCAGCUUUGAUGGAUUUGAUGGAUAGACAAUUAUGCAACUGAUUGACCAACCUCUUCCGGGAGGCAGCUUCAGGGACUAGGGCUUUUCUUUUUAAUGGACUUGGGCUAUUCCUGCGUCUAAGAGGCUGACUCACAAACAAUGCUAAGCAACUAAAAUAGCUUCUUAUUGAAGAGGAAAAUUAAUUUUCAAAGGGGAAGUAGGGGGUGUGACAGACAUGGUAGUUAGCAGUCUACUACUGACUCUAUCACACCACCAUAGCCAGAAAAGCCUGCUGACGUGUCAGACAUGUUAAAAAGUGAAAGUUUGCCACAGUGCAUGUAGCUUUCUCCUCAGGUAUUUCAAGAAAGAAAUUAUAAGGCCAACUUCCAUAAUUAUGCCUGUUAUACAACAAUAAGGACAAACCAGGGGCCUAGGAAUUCAGUUUUCUAGAGAGUCCCAUCAAUAUAGCCAUAUACUGACCCAUUCUCUAAUGGAACUAGCUGGAGAAAUAUAAAUAUCAAGACUAUGAGAACAUCAAAGGCCUCACUGGAAAAGCCCCCACACAGAAAAAUGUGUGGGUGUGAAUUCUUCCAUUCUGGAAGGGUAAAGGCCUGAGCUGAUGAUGCUGGGAUGAGACACUGAAGGCUUUAGAGAAGCGAAACAAGCAUAAUAAAGUUGACACACGGAUUACCAAAUAGCCUUUCCCUUAGAACUAAUGCUAAAUUUGUGGUUUUGAUUUGAAAGGUACAGAGAGACAUUCUGUAUUUUUUUAGUAAAAAAGGGAAAAGACCAUGAUCAUUUGUGUCUGUCUCUAUUUCUAAAAGAAAAAAAAUAUUUGCCUCUAAUCAGGCUUUUUCUUCGUUUCUUCCCCUUGAGGAACUGUACACUUAUUUUAAAAUUUUACGAAGACGUUUUAUAUUCUUCAGAGUAUUCCCUAAUGCAUGGAAAAAAAGCAAUGAACCAUUUUUCUCCGUUCUUUUUAAGUACAAUUAAGUGUUCCCUAGAAUGUGUAACCUUUCCUGCCUACCCACCCUCAUCUUAAUUCUAAAAUUACACAUCAACAUUUAAACCAUGUUGUCAAAAUUCAGUUGAAAGACAUAUUCCUUCAAAAUUCUUUAUAACCACCUUUCUUGAUGCAGCAAUCACCUUUUACCCGGGAUUACACUUGUCUAUAUGUAUGUCUCCUCUAUUACAUACAAGGUUCUUUGAGUAAGAAUACAAAUGAUCAGUGUGUGGACUUUGGAGACAGAAUAUUUUGAUUUCAAAUCCUUGUUCUGCCCUAAACUGUCAGUAAGGGCCAAACAACCCAGAAUAAAUUACUUAACUUCCCUGAGCUUCAGUUUUCUAACCUACAAAAUGGUACCAUGACUUAACAGGUAUGGCUUAAACUAGACUGUGCCUGCUCAGACUUUUUUCUUUCUCUAUACCUGAUGGCAUCAUAGGUACUAGGUAAAUAUCUGUUUAAAAAACAGACAAGAAAUGAAUAAGGCAGUAACAACAGAGAAGUUACAAGAAAUAUCUUUGAAAAAGGAUUUCCCCAAUUCCUCCUAGUUUAAAUUAGAUAUAUGUAUGCCAUCAUUCAGGCAUCAUAGUUAAGAAAAAAAUGAACACAAUCCUAAAUGUCCUACCUGAUCUAAUGACUGAAAAAUACUGAUCUGAUUAUUAUUAUUUCAUACAUAUGUAAUAUUAUUAUUACUGUUACAUUCAUAGUGUUGCAGGUGCUUCAGAGGCUGUGUUAAAAAGUAAUAACAUAAAAACUAGAAACUUCUGGAUUGGUCUAUAAAUGACACACACAUGAAGCCUAUUAUAAAACUAGCAUCACUACCCUUGGAUUUAAACCCUUCUCUGAAUAUCUGUCACAAGUUUUUUGUAGUAUUUUAUUCAUUUUUUCAUAACGAUGUUCUAAGACAAACAAUGGAUACCCCUCUUAGUAACUUCUGUUGAUUGAGUUCUGGUCUCUGAAUUGUAAGAGUAAUCUUGGAAGAACUGAGCCCAAAUACUUCAGCUUAGAGAACUGCUCUCACUCCACAAAACAUACUCAUACAAACAUACUGUGGCUCACUGUGACCUUCUAGACUGCUUAUUACCCUGCUUUUCUCACCCCUGCUCACAAUAAUUAGGCCAGUACUGGUACUCCCCAAGCUGGCCAUAUUAUCUUUCUCCUAAAGAAUAUACAAGUGGUAUUCCAGAAAUUCCAGUCAGUAAGCUUCCUAUAAACAAAUAAACUUGAGGGUGCUUACUAUAAUGGUCAUUUUCUGCCUUUACUUAAAGAAAUAAAAGCAAUCUGUCCAAUAAAGAGAAUAAAUGAAAUGGACAUGAAGAGGGAGAAAGCUCUCAUAGCUCAGACAGCUCCUGAGAGACUGAGAAGAAAAAGCAUUAUCGGUUCUGGCAACAUUCCAACUCUCAUUAUAGCCACCUGAUGCCCAGCAAAAAUAAUAAAGGAGCCCCCCGCACCCCCCCCCAAAUCUGUCAAAAAAAGAGACAAAACCCCAUCAAAUCUAGCAUUAGUAGUCCUUCCUAUGCAAACCCUUUUCUGGGUUUUUAAGGGUUGUUAAAC